RNAcentral lists this transfer RNA (72 nucleotides) under Protoreaster nodosus. Its description in RNAcentral is "tRNA-Thr". It matches the Rfam family "tRNA". From Rfam's summary of the family: Transfer RNA (tRNA) molecules are approximately 80 nucleotides in length. Their secondary structure includes four short double-helical elements and three loops (D, anti-codon, and T loops). Lineage: Eukaryota; Metazoa; Echinodermata; Asteroidea; Valvatida; Oreasteridae. The record is from RNAcentral.
GCCCCAAAAGCUAAGCGGUCAGCUAUUAAUCUUGUAAAUUAAGGGAUGAAGGUUCGAAUCCUUUUUGAGGCU